GAUGAACGCUGGCGGCGUGCCUAAUACAUGCAAGUCGAGCGAACAGAUAAGGAGCUUGCUCCUUUGACGUUAGCGGCGGACCGGUGAGUAACACGUGGAUAACCUACCUAUAAGACUGGGAUAACUUCGGGAAACCGGAGCUAAUACCGGAUAACAUAUUGAACCGCAUGGUUCAAUAGUGAAAGGCGGCUUUGCUGUCACUUAUAGAUGGAUCCGCGCCGUAUUAGCUAGUUGGUAAGGUAACGGCUUACCAAGGCAACGAUACGUAGCCGACCUGAGAGGGUGAUCGGCCACACUGGAACUGAGACACGGUCCAGACUCCUACGGGAGGCAGCAGUAGGGAAUCUUCCGCAAUGGGCGAAAGCCUGACGGAGCAACGCCGCGUGAGUGAUGAAGGUCUUCGGAUCGUAAAACUCUGUUAUCAGGGAAGAACAAAUGUGUAAGUAACUGUGCACAUCUUGACGGUACCUGAUCAGAAAGCCACGGCUAACUACGUG
Molecule: ribosomal RNA, 497 nt
Filed under: uncultured bacterium
Lineage: Bacteria
Description: partial 16S ribosomal RNA
Rfam family: Bacterial small subunit ribosomal RNA
Source: RNAcentral